AAUGAACGCUGGCGGCAGGCCUAACACAUGCAAGUCGAACGGAUCCUUCGGGAUUAGUGGCGGACGGGUGAGUAACGCGUGGGAACAUACCCAAAGGUACGGAAUAGCUUCGGGAAACUGGGAGUAAUACCGUAUGUGCUCGAAAGAGGAAAGAUUUAUCGCCUUUGGAUGGGCCCGCGUUGGAUUAGGUAGUUGGUGGGGUAAUGGCCUACCAAGCCGACGAUCCAUAGCUGGUUUGAGAGGAUGAUCAGCCACACUGGGACUGAGACACGGCCCAGACUCCUACGGGAGGCAGCAGUGGGGAAUCUUAGACAAUGGGGGAAACCCUGAUCUAGCCAUGCCGCGUGAUCGAUGAAGGCCUUAGGGUUGUAAAGAUCUUUCAGGUGGGAAGAUAAUGACUGUACCACCAGAAGAAGCCCCGGCUAACUCCGUGCCAGCAGCCGCCGUAA
Molecule: ribosomal RNA, 449 nt
Filed under: uncultured bacterium
Lineage: Bacteria
Description: partial 16S ribosomal RNA
Rfam family: Bacterial small subunit ribosomal RNA
Source: RNAcentral